This 468-nucleotide ribosomal RNA is filed under the name uncultured bacterium. RNAcentral's name for it is "partial 16S ribosomal RNA". It matches the Rfam family "Bacterial small subunit ribosomal RNA", at positions 28 to 507 of the family's 1533-position model. The record is from RNAcentral.
GACGAACGCUGGCGGCGUGCUUAACACAUGCAAGUCGAACGGAAAGGCCCUGCUUUUGUGGGGUGCUCGAGUGGCGAACGGGUGAGUAACACGUGAGUAACCUGCCCUUGACUUUGGGAUAACUUCAGGAAACUGGGGCGAAUACCGGAUAGGAGCUCCUGCUGCAUGGGGGGGGUUGGAAAGUUUCGGCUGUUGGGGAUGGACUCGCGGCUUAUCAGCUUGUUGGGGGGGUAGUGGCUUACCAAGGCUUUGACGGGUAGCCGGCCUGAGAGGGUGACCGGCCACAUUGGGCCUGAGAUACGGCCCAGAAUCCUACGGGAGGCAGCAGUGGGGAACCUUGCACAAUGGGCGGACGCGUGAUGCAGCAACGCCGCGUGCGGGAUGACGGCCUUCGGGGUGUAAACCGCUUUCGCCUGUGACGAAGAGUGAGUGACGGUAAUGGGUCAAGAAGCACCGGCUAACUACGUG